This is a non-coding RNA of Cicer arietinum (chickpea), 2669 nucleotides long. The record is from RefSeq and is a predicted model, not a curated record. Lineage: Eukaryota; Viridiplantae; Streptophyta; Magnoliopsida; Fabales; Fabaceae.
CCGGCCUGUCAGGCCUAAUAGGUUUUUUUUAGAAAGUAUGAGUCUAGGCUAUUUAAAUAAAUAAGUUUUUUAAAAAGCUUAACCUAACCUUUUUACUAAACAGGUAAGGCUGAGCUAGACUUUUAAUAGGCCAAGCCAUAGGCUCCUGUUGGGCGGCCUAGUUUAUUCGCACCCCUACGUGGAUGCAAAAACAUCUUUGGAACUGCAUAGCCCAUGAGUGAAGCAGACGCAUAGCCCAUGAAUGAAGCAGACGGAAUCGUCUCUCUUAAAUGGAGGAUAAACCACAGAUGUCACUAAAUCAACAACAGGAGAAUCAAGAGUUACUCAUUAGAUGUAUUGCACAAUCUCUAGGCUUUUCUGGGAACAGACCAAUUGCUGCUUGUCAUAUGCAAAUGUUUCUUGCUUGCACUGGAGAUCAUUUGAAGUUGAGUGUAGUGUUUUUAUCGUAUCAUCCAAACUACUGGCCAUGCAACUAGACCCAGGAUAACAAUAAUGUCUUGGCCUAUUGGUAAUCAAAUGCCUCAACACUUGCCUUGUUACUCCAGAACAUACUCAAAGCAAGUGGUUCUGCCGGAAUGGCUCGUCAGCACUGUCAUUCAUCAUCAACAGCCUGUUUGGGAGGAUGACUCGAUGUUUUCGUGGAACUCCAGAUGGAGUCAAUUUUUCCCUAAUCUAUGGUAGCACAAGCAGGAGAGUAGAUACAUCAAGACAAGUUGAAGUCAAUUACCAAUCUGUGCUUUUCAAACAGCAGCUUAGAGAAUAUGUGGAAAAGAUAUAUGGAAUUAUUCGCUAUAACUUGAAGAAAGAAAUUUCUCUUUUACUUGGAUUGUCCAUCCAGGUGCCAAGACCAUCCAGAGCAAGCUUGGUCAAGGGAUCAUCAUGUUUUGUUGCAAACACCAAUGCCCAGGGCGCAAUGAUUGCUCCCUAGCAGGAGAGUGAAAAGCCUAGGAACUAUUUUGAGUACUUUGAAAGAAAAUCAUGUUCCCCCAUUUUGGUUCAAAGGUGUUCACACGAAAAUUUUCUCUCAUGAAUGUACACUUAUUCAACAGGUUGUUUUUUGUACUUUUUUUUCAUUCUCAUUUUUAUAUCCUCAAGUAUUCAUUUUUUAUUAGUCUUCUUUGAAAACAAGAGUGAUGCUCAUUUAGUAAUGGAGAAUUUGUCAAAGCUGGUUUGGCUAAAGUAGAUCAUUGGUGUUAUGAUGUGCAUGAAAUUAACAAUGGUGUUAUUCUUUUCGGUAGUUCAGUUCAUUUAAUAGGUACGCUAACCUUCCUGUCCUUUCUCCAAAAAAAAAAAAAAAAAGCAGUAUACAGGUUCAGCCUGGAAUGAGAUCAAACAUAUUAGACAAGCUAUUGGAUUUCUGAUAUCUAUAUUCUUGGCUACAUAUCAUCUUGCAUAUGUUAAGAACCUAGAGAGGAGAAAUGGAAAAAUGUCAGAAAUAGAAAUUAGGAACAACUUAUUGAAUGAUUAAGAACAUCAAUUUUUUUCUCUAGUGAAAAAACUGUGUUUCCCUCCCUUCUUCUAACGGUCACAGAUGGCAAAAUAUGGUAAACUGAUUUUUUCUUACCUUUAUUAAUGUAAUAAAGUCAUCCAUCCGAACCCACAUAAAACACAGGACGAUAAGCCAUGACUUGUGCCCAUUAAGUGAAAGAAAUCUCUGAUCAGGUCCUUAGUAUUCAGCAGUUACAUUGAAAUAGCAUCAUGUACUGGGAUGCCCAAUUUAAUUAAUAUAAGUGCCUUCGUCCAUUGCACGGUUCCAAGUCACAGGGAAAACUCUUUCCAUGUUCAAUUCAAAAUAUUUAUAAUCUUUUUGAGUGGAAGAGUAGCCAAGAAAACACAUUUAAUAGCACGGGGUUCAAGUUUACCAAGAUGUUUAUGUUCAUGAGCAAAAGUCAUGCAUCCAAAAAUUUUCAAUAGUAAAUCAGCAAAGAUUGAUGCAAUGGAAAAAUGUUUAAAGAAAAUUUGAAAAGGAGUUUGAAAUUGAAACACACGCGAUGGCAUGCGAUUAAUCAAAUAUGCAGCUAUCAAGACAGACCCACAAAUAUUUUGGGACAUUGGUAGAGACGAGUAAUGCACGUGCCACCUCAAGAAGAUGUUGAUUUUUUCUUUGCAAUUCCAUUUUGCUGAGCAUUCCGUUUUCUGUUGAUGACAUGUCGUAGUCAUGGGAGCAGAUUGAUAUCUCAGAUAUAGAGCCCCACCACUAAUAAGUGGAAACUCUGGUCUUAGCUUUUUGUUGCCCCACGCAGAUUAACAGCUUUUGUUGUAGAAUUGACUCCCCGCUUACCUGGUAUUCUUAUACACCUCCAUGAGGAUAUAAAGUCACAUUCAGUUUAGAUCAGAUGUCAUCAAUGAAUGCUCAAAUGUUGGCUUUGAUUGUGAUAGAAACAAGUCACUGUAAUAAACAUGCCAAAUUUACUUGGUAGUUUAAAACAUGGACUGACACGACACAAGGCCCGUUGUGCAACUUUUUGUUUGAGGCUGGCGUGAAAAGAAUAAUACUACACAGGCCUUUACAUCUUGUUUUCUCGGCUUAUUACUUUGCUCAGAAUAAGUUCUUUAUAUAGAAUGAUAAGAAUUUCACCAGAUUUUAGUGAGGAAUGAAGUCCAUGAUUCAGAAUAUGUAACAACAAGAGUUCAUUAGUUAUAAUUUUAUAGAGACUUGUCCUGUCAUA